This 253-nucleotide ribosomal RNA is filed under the name uncultured bacterium. RNAcentral's name for it is "partial 16S ribosomal RNA". It matches the Rfam family "Bacterial small subunit ribosomal RNA", at positions 524 to 776 of the family's 1533-position model. The record is from RNAcentral.
UACGUAGGGGGCGAGCGUUGCCCGAAUUUACUGGGCGUAAAGCGCACGUAGGCGGCUCCGUAAGUCUGGUGUGAAAUCUCACGGCUCAACCGGGAGGCUGCACCAGAUACUGCGGAGCUCGAGGGCGGGAGAGGAGAUUGGAAUUCCCGGUGUAGCGGUGAAAUGCAUUGAUAUCGGGAGGAACACCAGUGGCGAAGGCGGAUCUCUGGCCCGCUUCUGACGCUGAGGUGCGAAAGCUGGGGGAGCGAAAGGG